GACGUAGGGCGCGAGCGUUGUCCGGAUUUAUUGGGCGUAAAGAGCUCGUAGGCGGCUUGUUGCGUCGACCGUGAAAACCCGGGGCUCAACUUCGGGCUUGCGGUCGAUACGGGCGGGCUAGAGUUCGGUAGGGGAGACUGGAAUUCCUGGUGUAGCGGUGAAAUGCGCAGAUAUCAGGAGGAACACCGGUGGCGAAGGCGGGUCUCUGGGCCGAUACUGACGCUGAGGAGCGAAAGCGUGGGGAGCGAGCAGG
This 253-nucleotide ribosomal RNA is filed under the name uncultured bacterium. Its description in RNAcentral is "partial 16S ribosomal RNA". It matches the Rfam family "Bacterial small subunit ribosomal RNA", at positions 524 to 776 of the family's 1533-position model. The record is from RNAcentral.